Molecule: ribosomal RNA, 164 nt
Filed under: uncultured bacterium
Lineage: Bacteria
Description: partial 16S ribosomal RNA
Rfam family: Bacterial small subunit ribosomal RNA
Source: RNAcentral
UAGGGAAUCUUCCACAAUGGGCGAAAGCCUGAUGGAGCAACGCCGCGUGUGUGAUGAAGGCUUUUGGGUCGUAAAGCACUGUUGUAUGGGAAGAACAGCUAGAAUAGGAAAUGAUUUUAGUUUGACGGUACCAUACCAGAAAGGGACGGCUAAAUACGUGCCAG